AUACUCACUUUGGCAGAACAUGUACUAAAAUUGGAAAGAUACAAAUUGUCCCCUGUUGCAGGAUGACACAUGAAUUUGUGAAGCACUCCAUAUUAUA
This 97-nucleotide small nuclear RNA is filed under the name Erinaceus europaeus (western European hedgehog). Lineage: Eukaryota; Metazoa; Chordata; Mammalia; Eulipotyphla; Erinaceidae. The record is from RNAcentral.